Molecule: long non-coding RNA, 1250 nt
Filed under: Oncorhynchus kisutch (coho salmon)
Lineage: Eukaryota; Metazoa; Chordata; Actinopteri; Salmoniformes; Salmonidae
Description: lncRNA (ENSOKIG00005003055.1)
Source: RNAcentral
AUAAUGUUAUUUUAUUCAGACAAAUGUCUUCUUCUCUCUCUAUCUAUCACCAUCUUUCCUCCUCUUCUCUCUCUAUCCCAAUCUCCCUCUCUGUCUCCCCCUCUUCUCUCUCUCUCUCUCUCUAUCCCCAUCUCCCUCCCUCUCUGUCCUCCCCUCUUCUCUCUCUCUCUAUCCCCAUCACCCUCUCUGUCCUCACCUCUUCUCUCUCUCUCUCUCUCUAUCCCCCUCUCUGUCCUCCCCUAUUCUCUCUCUCUCUCUAUCCCCAUCUCCCUCUCUAUCCCCAUCUCCCUCUCUGUCCUCCUCUCUCUCUCUCUCUCUCCCCAUCUCCCUCUCUAUGCCCAUCUCCCUCUCUGUCCUCCUCUCUCUCUCCCCAUCUCUCUCUCUGUCCUCCUCUCUCUUGCUCUCUCCCCAUCUCCCUCUCUCUCCCCAUCUCUCUCUCUGUCCUCCUCUCUCUUGCUCUCUCCCCAUCUCCCUCUCUAUCCCCAUCUCCCUCUCUGUCCUCCUCUCUCUCUCUCUCUCUCUCUCUCUCUCUCUCUCUCUCUCUCUCCCCAUCUCCCUCUCUAUGCCCAUCUCCCUCUCUGUCCUCCUCUCUCGCUCCCCAUCUCUCUCUCUGUCCUCCUCUCUCUCGCUCUCUCCCCAUCUCCCUCUCUAUCCCCAUCUCCCUCUCUGUCCUCCUCUCUCUAUCCUCAUCUCCCUCUCUGUCCUCCUCUCCCUAUCCCCAUCUCCUUCUCUGUCCCUCCCCAGAGAACGAUGGCUACUGGCCAAGACAGCUGGCUCUUUGGGCCACUCUGGUGCCGUUUUUCGAGGCUUGGAUUGUCGGGGGCUUGUCUUGCUGGGGGGUGAGGGGAGGAAACAAUGGGAGUAGAAGAACAUGCUCCAUUAUCGACCCGAGACUGAGACAGACAGAUAUCAGUAACUGACCCACUGUGAUUUCCACACUGGGGGAUUCAUGCUGGAGUCAGUUUGUGACUUGUUAGCAUACAGAAAUGUUCACAUUCUUACUGUCGAUGGGCUACUUUCGUUAUCCCCCAGUGCAUUGGAGUUUAGCAGAGUGGCAGGUGUAUGAGUGGAAACACAGCCACACUAAAGUAGCUUGUUUGCUCUACCAUGGUUCCUGGGUGUUUAGUGGUGGGCAGCGCACUGUGGUAGCGUGGGAAGGCGUAUGUGAACGGUGUCUCACUCAGCAGGGACUUAGACUGCCUCUCUCUACGUCUCUCUCUCUCUCUCUAUUUCUGCCCCUCUCCCUCUCU